GACGAACGCUGGCGGCGUGCUUAACACAUGCAAGUCGAACGGAAAGGCCCUGCUUUUGUGGGGUGCUCGAGUGGCGAACGGGUGAGUAACACGUGAGUAACCUGCCCUUGACUUUGGGAUAACUUCAGGAAACUGGGGCUAAUACCGGAUAGGAGCUCCUGCUGCAUGGUGGGGUUUGGAAAGUUUCGGCGGUUGGGGAUGGACUCGCGGCUUAUCAGCUUGUUGGUGGGGUAGUGGCUUACCAAGGCUUUGACGGGUAGCCGGCCUGAGAGGGUGACCGGCCACAUUGGGACUGAGAUACGGCCCAGACUCCUACGGGAGGCAGCAGUGGGGAAUAUUGCACAAUGGGCGGAAGCCUGAUGCAGCAACGCCGCGUGCGGGAUGACGGCCUUCGGGUUGUAAACCGCUUUCGCCUGUGACGAAGCGUGAGUGGCGGUAAUGGGUAAAGAAGCACCGGCUAACUACGUG
RNAcentral lists this ribosomal RNA (468 nucleotides) under uncultured bacterium. RNAcentral describes it as "partial 16S ribosomal RNA". It matches the Rfam family "Bacterial small subunit ribosomal RNA", at positions 28 to 507 of the family's 1533-position model. The record is from RNAcentral.